This is a long non-coding RNA of Toxorhynchites rutilus septentrionalis, 752 nucleotides long. RefSeq lists it as uncharacterized. The record is from RefSeq and is a predicted model, not a curated record. Lineage: Eukaryota; Metazoa; Arthropoda; Insecta; Diptera; Culicidae. The transcript has 3 exons.
UAUCUUUCACAUUGUUGUCCGGUUUUCCGUCCAAACCCAGCGGCGCUUUUUGAAACCGGUCCGGCAGAAACCGGAUAAUGUGUAAUCGCCCUUACACGAUCAACCGGAUUGACAAUAAGUGUCUUCAAUAUCGUGACAGCUAGGCUUUCAACAUCUGAUCUAACCUCAAUCAAUAUUUUUCCACCUUACACGGUCAAUAUCAAAGUACGUAGAAUAGAAGGUAAGGGAUAUCUCCUGUAUAUACACACGGAGAGCGCAUGUGUUACACACACAACGAAGUUAGUAAUAACAAAUCCUCAAUUAGUUCGAAGUACUGAAGUUUUUUCAAUAUUUUAAAAGUUCCAAAAAUCUUGAUUUUAAAAGUUCCAAAAAUCCUGAAAAGAGACAAAAUCGCAAGUCGUGCCGACGGUAAACACGAUAAUAUACCGCUUUUUCAGUGCAACGAAAUGUUGAAGUACCACGUCCCGCGAUGCCGGAACAGAAUAAUUUCGAAUGAGAUAAACUAAUCGGAGACGUUUUCAGUUAUCCCAUGCAUUCGCUCCAUGGAUCGGGAACGGGAACGACACUGCUGCGAUAUAACCUCUCAACACAUUUGUUUAUCGGAUUGCAUUAUUUUUAUAGUACAGAUAGCCGCGCGAGAUAGUUGGUGGAUGAUAAUCCAGACGACCGGAGUUCGAACCCACAUCGGAGCAGUUUUCACCAAACACCAAUCUGUGCCAUUUUAAACAUUCAUAUUCCACUCCCAACACAAG